RNAcentral lists this ribosomal RNA (982 nucleotides) under human gut metagenome. Its description in RNAcentral is "bacterial LSU rRNA". It matches the Rfam family "Bacterial large subunit ribosomal RNA", at positions 1945 to 2925 of the family's 2925-position model. The record is from RNAcentral.
ACGGUCCUAAGGUAGCGAAAUUCCUUGUCAGGUAAGUUCUGACCCGCACGAAAGGCGUAACGAUUUGGGCGCUGUCUCAGCUGUAGACUCGGUGAAGUCUUAGUACCUGUGAAGAUGCAGGUUACCCGCGACUAGACGGAAAGACCCCAUGGAGCUUCACUGCAGGUUGAUAUUGGGAUUUGAUGCAGCAUGUACAGGAUAGGUAGGAGGCAAAGAGAUGGAUACGCCAGUAUUCAAGGAGCCGCUGUUGGGAUACUACCCCUGUUGUAUUGGAUUUCUAACCGGACGACGUAGAACCGUUGACGGGACAGUGUCAGUCGGGCAGUUUGACUGGGGCGGUCGCCUCCCAAAGAGUAACGGAGGCGCCCAAAGAUACCCUCAGCUUGGAUGGAAACCAAGCGCAGAGUGCAAAGGCAAAAGGGUGUUUGACUGCGAGACCCACAAGUCGAGCAGGGACGAAAGUCGGGCUUAGUGAUCCGGCGGUGCUGAAUGGAAAGGCCGUCGCUCAACGGAUAAAAGCUACCCUGGGGAUAACAGGCUGAUCUCCCCCAAGAGUUCACAUCGACGGGGAGGUUUGGCACCUCGAUGUCGGCUCAUCGCAUCCUGGAGCUGAAGUCGGUUCCAAGGGUUGGGCUGUUCGCCCAUUAAAGCGGUACGCGAGCUGGGUUCAGAACGUCGUGAGACAGUUCGGUCCCUAUCUGUCGUGGGCGCAGGAAAUUUGAGAAGAGCUGUCCUCAGUACGAGAGGACCGGGAUGGACGCAUCAAUGGUGGACCAGUUGUCACGCCAGUGGCAUAGCUGGGUAGCUAAAUGCGGAAGGGAUAAACGCUGAAGGCAUCUAAGUGUGAAACCCACUUCAAGAUGAGAUUUCCCAUUGCGCAAGCAAGUAAGACCCCUUAAAGACGAUAAGGUAGAUAGGUCAGGAGUGUAAGCAUGGUGACAUGUUAAGCGGACUGAUACUAAUAGGUCGAGGGCUUGACCGA